RNAcentral lists this ribosomal RNA (650 nucleotides) under uncultured Hyphomicrobiales bacterium. Its description in RNAcentral is "bacterial SSU rRNA". It matches the Rfam family "Bacterial small subunit ribosomal RNA", at positions 798 to 1446 of the family's 1533-position model. Lineage: Bacteria; Pseudomonadati; Pseudomonadota; Alphaproteobacteria; Hyphomicrobiales. The record is from RNAcentral.
CGCNGUAAACGAUGGAAGCCAGCCGUUGGCAGAUUUAUCUGUCGGUGGCGCAGCUAACGCAUUAAGCUUCCCGCCUGGGGAGUACGGUCGCAAGAUUAAAACUCAAAGGAAUUGACAGGGGCCCGCACAAGCGGUGGAGCAUGUGGUUUAAUUNGAAGCAACGCGCAGANCCUUACCAGCCCUUGACAUCCCGAUCAGGAUCAUCAGAGAUGAUGAUUGUCGGUUCGGCCGGAUCGGUGACAGGUGCUGCAUGGCUGUCGUCAGCUCGUGUCGUGAGAUGUUGGGUUAAGUCCCGCAACGAGCGCAACCCUCGCCCUUAGUUGCCAUCAUUAAGUUGGGCACUCUAAGGGGACUGCCGGUGAUAAGCCGAGAGGAAGGUGGGGAUGACGUCAAGUCCUCAUGGCCCUUACGGGCUGGGCUACACACGUGCUACAAUGGUGGUGACAGUGGGCAGCGAGACCGCGAGGUCGAGCUAAUCUCCAAAAGCCAUCUCAGUUCGGAUUGCACUCUGCAACUCGAGUGCAUGAAGUUGGAAUCGCUAGUAAUCGUGGAUCAGCAUGCCACGGUGAAUACGUUCCCGGGCCUUGUACACACCGCCCGUCACACCAUGGGAGUUGGCUUUACCCGAAGGUGCCGCGCUAACCGCAAGG